UACGUAGGGGGCAAGCGUUGUCCGGAAUCAUUGGGCGUAAAGCGCGUGUAGGCGGCCCGGUAAGUCCGCUGUGAAAGUCGGGGGCUCAACCCUCGGAUGCCGGUGGAUACUGUCGGGCUAGAGUGCGGGAGAGGCGAGUGGAAUUCCUGGUGUAGCGGUGGAAUGCGCAGAUAUCAGGAGGAACACCGAUGGCGAAGGCAGCUCGCUGGGACGGUACUGACGCUGAGGCGCGAAAGCGUGGGGAGCGAACAGG
This 253-nucleotide ribosomal RNA is filed under the name uncultured bacterium. RNAcentral describes it as "partial 16S ribosomal RNA". It matches the Rfam family "Bacterial small subunit ribosomal RNA", at positions 524 to 776 of the family's 1533-position model. The record is from RNAcentral.